UUGAAAGGGAAACGAUUGAAGUCAGUCGUACCGACGAGAAAUCAGCUUAUCGUGUGUGAACUUGUGGGCGUGCGUGAGUUUCGGCCUCGCUGUUUGCAUGUUUGUGCGCUUUGGGUGUACUUUUUCGUAUGGUUGGCCAACAUCAGUUUCGAUUAUUAUAAAAUGACUGGCGGAAUGUAGCUUCGAUUUCGGUUGAAGUGUUAUAGCCUCUGGUAGAUGUGGUAAUUGGGACUGAGGAUUGCAACGAAUAUCCUUUGGGCUAUCCGUCUGGCCUCUGAAAGUUGCUUGGGUGCUGAAAGCUUGCUUAUGGUUAUCUAAGUUAACGGUCAAUAGGUUAGAACGUGAUUACAUUCGUUAAGGAUGUUGACGUA
Molecule: ribosomal RNA, 371 nt
Filed under: uncultured Glomeromycotina
Lineage: Eukaryota; Fungi; Glomeromycota
Description: eukaryotic LSU rRNA
Source: RNAcentral